CAGGGGAUAUUUUAUAUAAAAUAUUAGUUUUGGGGAUUAAUGAAAUGGCUUGUUGCUUUUCCUCUGA
RNAcentral lists this transfer RNA (67 nucleotides) under Ruptitermes nr. cangua G16-174. RNAcentral describes it as "tRNA-Pro". The record is from RNAcentral. RNAcentral also lists the same sequence under 1 other name. Lineage: Eukaryota; Metazoa; Arthropoda; Insecta; Blattodea; Termitidae.